This 775-nucleotide ribosomal RNA is filed under the name uncultured Neocallimastigales. Its description in RNAcentral is "partial large subunit ribosomal RNA". It matches the Rfam family "Eukaryotic large subunit ribosomal RNA", at positions 20 to 616 of the family's 3401-position model. The record is from RNAcentral. Lineage: Eukaryota; Fungi; Neocallimastigomycota; Neocallimastigomycetes; Neocallimastigales.
GUACUAGAGUAGCACUCGCAUAUCAAUAAGCGGAGGAAAAGAAACUAACAAGGAUUCCCCUAGUAACGGCGAGUGAAGCGGGAAGAGCUCAAAUUUGAAAUCUUAAAGGGUUUCCCUUUACGAAUUGUAGUUUAAAGAAGUGUUUUCUGUUGAGGUUUUGGUAAAAGUUCUUUGGAAUAGGACAUCAUAGAGGGUGAGAAUCCCGUAUUUGACCUUUACUUUCAACUUUGUGAUACACUUUCAAAGAGUCGGAUUGUUUGGGAAUGCAGUCCAAAAUGGGUGGUAAAUUUCAUCUAAAGCUAAAUAUUGGCGAGAGACCGAUAGCGAACAAGUACCGUGAGGGAAAGAUGAAAAGAACUUUGAAAAGAGAGUUAAACAGUACGUGAAAUUGUCAAAAGGGAAGCGUUUGACACCAGUGUUGUUUUUCUGAAAAUCAAUUAAAGAACUGUUUAUGCUAAGUUGUUUAGACUUUAUCAGCUAACUGUUUAGUUUUGAGCUUUUCUUUAAUGCACUUUUCAGUUAACAAGUCAACAUCAAUUUCUUUUGCUGUAAAAAAGCUUGAGGAAGGUGGCUUGAGAUUCGUCUUAAGUGUUUAUAGCCUCUUGCCUAUGCAGUCGGAGAGAUUGAGGUCUGCAGCGUAGAUCCUUCGGGGCUAAAUGCAUUUGUGCUAAGUUAUAGCAUUUUAUAGACAACUUGUUGACUAUGAUUUGUCUUGUAGCUUACUCGCUUAUGUUAUUUUACCUACGCUUAGGAUGUUGAGCGCAUGUCUCUCUCU